GCCGGAUUUCACACAGGUGUUGCAUGGCUGUCGUCAGCUCGUGUCGUGAGAUGUUGGGUUAAGUCCCGCAACGAGCGCAACCCUCAUCCUUAGUUACCAUCAGGUAAUGCUGGGGACUUUAAGGAAACUGCCAGUGAUAAACUGGAGGAAGGUGGGGAUGAUGUCAAGUCAUCAUGGCCUUUAUGGAGUGGGCUACACACGUGCUACAAUGGUGGCUACAAUGGGCUGCAAAGUCGCGAGGCUAAGCUAAUCCCUUAAAAGCCAUCUCAGUUCGGAUUGUACUCUGCAACUCGAGUGCAUGAAGUUGGAAUCGCUAGUAAUCGUGGAUCAGCACGCCACGGUGAAUACGUUCUCGGGUCUUGUACACACUGCC
This 373-nucleotide ribosomal RNA is filed under the name Wolbachia endosymbiont of Anopheles hyrcanus. RNAcentral's name for it is "bacterial SSU rRNA". It matches the Rfam family "Bacterial small subunit ribosomal RNA", at positions 1022 to 1394 of the family's 1533-position model. The record is from RNAcentral. Lineage: Bacteria; Pseudomonadati; Pseudomonadota; Alphaproteobacteria; Rickettsiales; Anaplasmataceae.